RNAcentral lists this long non-coding RNA (258 nucleotides) under Eucalyptus grandis. Its description in RNAcentral is "long non-coding RNA (EGRA_LNC000410)". Lineage: Eukaryota; Viridiplantae; Streptophyta; Magnoliopsida; Myrtales; Myrtaceae. The record is from RNAcentral.
GACUGUCGGGAAGAAGAUAAACCCCUGCAAACUCGGACGGAGAAGCGGAAGCAGCGGAGGGUUUAAGGUGACGAGAUUGGAGAGAUAGAGAGAGAAGGACGAGGUUGUCGGAGCGGGAAAUGAAGCGGAAUCAAUCGUUGCCUCACUCUCUUCCCUUCUCUUAUCAUCUCCCGAGCGCUCUCACGUGCCGCGUGCCCUCCUCACGUGCAUCGAACCUUGUGAAGUCGAUCUCUUUUGUUCUAGUCUAUUUAUUCGCAC